AUUGAACGCUGGCGGCAGGCCUAACACAUGCAAGUCGAGCGAGCGGCGGACGGGUGAGUAAUGUAUGGGGACUGCCCGAUAGAGGGGGAUAACUACUGGAAACGGUGGCUAAUACCGCAUACUAUCGGAUAACCCAUAUGGGAUUAGCUAGUAGGUGGGGUAAAGGCUCACCUAGGCGACGCUCCCUAGCUGGUCUGAGAGGAUGAUCAGCGACACUGGGACUGAGAGACGGCCCAGACUCCUAAGGAGGCAGCAGUGGGAGAUAUUGCACAAUUGGCACAAGCCUGAUGAAGCCAUGCCGGGUGUAUGAAGAAGGCCUUAGGGUUGUUAAGUACGUUCAGCGGGGAGGCGUUACCCGCAGAAGAAGCACCGGCUAACUCCGUGCCAGCAGCCGCGGUAAUUC
This 403-nucleotide ribosomal RNA is filed under the name uncultured bacterium. RNAcentral describes it as "partial 16S ribosomal RNA". It matches the Rfam family "Bacterial small subunit ribosomal RNA", at positions 30 to 526 of the family's 1533-position model. The record is from RNAcentral.